CUUAAUAUUCGUUUGUCGAGGGAGUAGUUUUGGGCUACAUCAAAAACAUUUUAAUCAUAUUAAAAGAACUUGGGCCUAUCACAACCAUUGGUCCAAGUUUAAUAUGAAUUAGUAGUUUAUAAUACUCCCACUAUUUCGAAGAAAUAAGUGAGACUAUAUGGAACUACUAACGAAUGCAUUGCAUCCUCAUAUGGACUAUAUAGUCAUAUUAGGUUUUAGGAUGAUUAUGAACCGAUUGAUUUGAUCCAACACGAGCCUUGUGUUGGACCUUGGGUUUAAGGUAGAUAGUUGUUGAUUUUAGUUAUGCGUUUAAUCCAAUUAAACCGUUAUUUCCUAUUGGGCGUUGGACCCAACUAUUCCAUUUAGCAUACAAUUAAACAAAAGGAAUACAUGAAAUAGUAAGAAGGGCUUAUGCCCUUUUACAACACAAAUGAUGGACUUAUGUCCAUGUACAACAAAUUGAAUUAAUCAAAUUACAUUCAAUAUCUACUCUACCAAACCCAAACAUUCAUAAUGUAAAGCAGCCAAUCACAUAGCUCAAUUAUCGAGGCCUUUGGUUCAUAAUCACCCUUUUCUCAAUUAAUCACAUUAACUAAGAAAGCAACUUUAAACAAUUGGUUUUUGGAUCCAUAGAAUUGAUUUAAAUGGAACUAAAUGAAAUGAAAAUCCAAUUCUCAUUAAAAGAGACAAAACAAUUUUGUUCUCAUUUUAUUUGGGCCAAAAGGAAACUAUGACCACAACAAUUGGGCCAUAAUGCAAAUACAAAAACUUUUGGGGUCACUUUGUAAAAACACAAUAGUCCACAACUUCAUGUAAUUACAACUAGAUCCCAAAAUUUUAUUAAUGUAAAAACAUCAUUAAAGGAUCAAAACAAUUCGUCCUUUAGAGUUUUUGGGCCUUAACGUAAAAACGUAAACUUUUGGGCCAAAAUGCAAAUACAUAAAAGUAUCAAAACUUUAUGUAAUUGCAUAAAAGACCCCAAAAGUACCCCCACUAGGGGGUGGCCGGUUUUAGGAGUGUGAAUGAGUGUGAAAGGGAUUUUAUGCAACUUGAUUUUGGUGGGUGAGGUAAAGGUGAAAUUGAUGGUUUGUAAGAAAAUGUUUUGUAAAACAUUAAAAAGUUUUGUCAAACAUUAAAGCCAAUAUUAAUGCUUCACCAAUAACUAUCACCCAUCAAAAUUAAACCAAAACUUUAUGCAAAAACAUAAAACUUUUGAAUCAAAACUUCAAAACUUUUUGUUCUUGGCAAGAACUUCAAGAACAUUGAAGAACACCAUGAAAACUCAUAAUAGCUCCAUGAAUUUUUUCACUCACCAAAACUCAAUUUUUCACCACUCAAAAGAGGGCUAAUAUCCUAGGGUACUUAGGGGUUCCAAAAGUCACCUUAAAACCAUUUUAACAAGACAAACAUGAACCCAAAAAUCACCCUUUGGAUUUGGCCGAAUUUCCCAAAACACAUGGCACCAAAUUUUAGU
This 1474-nucleotide long non-coding RNA is filed under the name Malus domestica (apple). Its description in RNAcentral is "long non-coding RNA (MDOM_LNC004536)". Lineage: Eukaryota; Viridiplantae; Streptophyta; Magnoliopsida; Rosales; Rosaceae. The record is from RNAcentral.